Molecule: long non-coding RNA, 2970 nt
Organism: Felis catus (domestic cat)
Lineage: Eukaryota; Metazoa; Chordata; Mammalia; Carnivora; Felidae
Exons: 2
Source: RefSeq, a predicted model, not a curated record
UCUGGGGUGGGCAGGAGGGAAGAGUUACCUGGGAGGCACAGAACCCAAGGUCUGUCCCCACCCACCUGGGGCAAUUGUCACAAUUACUAGGCAAUGGGAAGAGGCAGAUUGUGGACUGAGAGCAGGCAUGGAGGUGGGCUCAGGCCCUGGGAGGAGGGACAGGGUACUCCUAAGUCCUUGAGGGAAACAAGGGUGGGCCACCCUCAAACGGGUCACCAGACAGGUACCGCUCCACCCUUGCUCCCCUCACCGAACUAGGACUUCCAGGCCAGGACACUGAGCAGAUCCUGGGUCCCGGACAGAAGCAGCAGGACUGAAUUCGGCAGAAGUCAUGCUGAUUAGGUGCCCAGCCAUGUGGGUUCUGAGAGGACACUGCCUUGGCCCCCGCUGGAAAAAGACCCAGUGGGUUCUGGGGUGCAGGCAAAGGUGACAGGCUGCUUCUAGGAAGAGCACUUGCUCCUUCAUCCUGACCUUUUCUUGUGCCUUCAGAAGCUUCCUCCUGUGACCUUGCCUGACCAAAGCCCCCGGAGGCCAGGACACGACACCCCUGCCCGUGAGCCCUACCCCGGCAGGCCAGGGAGUGAGGUGCUGGCAAACAUGAGAGCGAACCAGAACAUCUGGCCUGGGGGUAGCUGGGGUGCCAGCCCACCAGCAUCAAGGUCAGUGCCUACUUAUCUCAAAAGGCACAAAAGCGGGCAAUUAUUGGCAUUAGAUGGGGAAGCCAUGCACAAAAGCGUCUCUCCGGCCCUGGAGCCUACCGGCCCCGGUCAACUGCCCCGGCAGGAACUGAUUGGCAGAGCAGCGCCCCCCCGCCCCCACAUCUACCCAUGGCAAUGCACAGCUGCCGCAUCUGGCCAAAGGGGAGGCGCCGCUUGAACCACUCGUGCCCUUCAAAGGAAAGGGAAAGUUACCAGGAAGUAGGGCCAAGGGAGAAAGAGCGAGCAAGGAAAGGGGCAGGAAGACAGCAGCCCUUCCCCGGUUCCAGGGCCCGGCAGAAGAGGCACCUGCCCUUCACCACGUCUCACGCAGCCAGCUCCGGCCCCACGCUUCGCGGCUCUGCCCGGCAGGGCUCACUCACCCUGGUAGCUGUAGGAGAGGUCUCCAGUGCCUGAGCUGUCGACCAGCCCGUCGGUGGAUCCGGAACUGUUCUCUGCGGGGAACAGUGAGCGGUGAGGCAGGUGGGAGGAGACGGGGAGGCGGGGGUCGGAAGGGGCCGGCUGCCAUUGUGCCACGUUGGAGGUGGAAGCCUAAGGAGGCCUGGCUGUGAGUGGGUGAGCACAGCCUUCGGUGUGGACACGUACCAAAGGAACCGUAGUUAUAACCUUCAUACGGGGAGCUGCCGGGGAAGGCAUCGGCCAGGACCCGGGGGUUACCUGCAAAGAGAGGUCAAGGGCCCCCUUAGCUCUGGAAACAGCCCGAAGCCAAAAGCCAAGAGAGAGAAGGAAGAAUCCAGAGAAGAGAGACACAGAGAGGCCUCGGUGGCAGCAGAGAGAACGCAUCUAUCCUGGCAAACACAACUCACUGCCACCACUAACAGCUGCCCCAGCCUCCCAGCUCCUCUGCCCACGGCACCUGGCGCUUACCAAGGAGAGAAGCUGAGAGAGAAGGUCCCAAACAGGAGGGAGGACAGACAGAGAGGGCGAAAUGGAAGAAAAGGAGAGAGAAUGAAAGGUUAGUAACCCCCCAGACUGUGAGCUACAUCAUCUGAGGCAGACAGCAUAGCUCUAGGCCCAGAGGAAGAACCAAGGGGCAGCCAUGAAGACAGCCAUGUGAGGGUCACAGGUAGGGCACAAUAGCCCAGCCCCAUUUCCAUCUGCAGAGUGUUCUUUCUCAGUCUGGACAUCCAGAAGCCCCCAGCCAGCCCUUCCUCCUCCAGCCCCCGAAGGGAACCGUCCACCAAAACACAAAGCAAACUGGCCCUCCCUGCCCAGGCCCUCUGGAGGUACCGCUUUCUGGGCAGGCUCGGUCCAUGGCCACCAGAAGCGUCUUCUUCCUCUGCCUGUAGGGACAGAAUCCAGAGGCAAACCAGAGGGAUGGGGCGAGGAUCCCUCCUUUGCUGAGCUGGCCUGCCUUCCACCCUCUCCACCCCAUAACCCUGUCCUCCAUCUGUGAUCUGAAGGUUCCUCCCAGGCUGGGAAACAAUGUGGGGUUUCCCUGCUUGGGAAGAAGGUUGAGGGGAGGGGUUGGUUUCCAGAGCAGAGGCCUCGUGAACCACGAACCCUCAAAGGGGCCUGCCUUCCUAUGCCCCGCAAUGGCGUGGGGCACUAUCCUGGGUUGGCUCACAUCCUGCUCAACCCACCCCAGAACAGGGGGGCACCCAGCAGCCCGCUUUACCUCCAGUUCUCCCAGCAGGCCAGGAGGAUGGUCAGCAGGUAGAAGGAGAGAAAUAUGCCCAGGCAAAAGAGCAUACCGCCAACAUAGGCCUCGGCUGUGGGGAGGGAGGCAGGAGGGUGAGCACACCGAAGCCUUCCGACGCUGCCCGCCAUGGCACACAAGGGCCCGGCCCAAGCUCACCCCGCAUCUCCCCUCAAAUGUAGUAACCCAGAGGGGUGAGCAGUAGGCAGCUUCCUAAAUAUGCCAAACUCUGACAUGAUUCCUGCCUUUGCUCAUGUUGCUCUUCCUCAAGAACCCUACCCUGUCUUCAAACACUUUCCUUCCAAAUACAGCUCGAGGACUAUGUCCUCUGGGAAGGCUUCUCUGCCCUGUGUUCCCUGUGACCUGUCCUUUGCUCAUCACAGGCCAUCGGCACUCUGCACAGCAACAGAUUCCUGCCCGCCAAACAGGAGCUCCCUGAGGACUGUAGCCAGCACGCAGCACCGGGCACAUAGAAGGUGCUACAUAAAUAUUUGCUGAAUAAAGAAUCUGUAAAGAAGAGACAGUUUCUUUCCCCUCCCAUCACAAUCCCUUAUUUUUAUCUUAUACUUAUUUUAUCUUAUAUUUAUACUUACAAAAAUCUAUAUUUUUAUCUCA